CUACAGAAACUUCACCCACAGCUACCAUGACUUUGAUCCCCGUCUUCAUCUGGACACUGAUCCUCUGGACUCAAGAAUGCAGAGGUCAAGUCACAGUAACUCAGACUCCUGCAGUGAAAUCUGUUCUUCCAGGAGAAACAGUCACCAUCAACUGUAAAACCAGUCAGGCGGUGUAUAGCAACAACCGCUUACACUGGUAUCAGCAGAAAGCUGGAGAAGCUCCUAAACUCCUGAUUAAAUUUGUAAAUCAGUUACAGUCGGGUUUUCCAGCUCGUUUCAGUGGCAGUGGAUCUGGAUCUGAUUUCACUCUGACCAUCAGUGGAGUCCAGACUGAAGAUGCAGGAGAUUAUUACUGUCAGAGUGAACAUUCCAUCACUGGCUACUGGUUCACACAGUGAUAUAUAGUCGUACAAAAACCUCCGUCAGUCAGAUAGUAGAGAAACUGCACUGCUGCAGCUGGGAGCGACUGCAGGUGCUGAGUUGGAGGAUGUGAUACGACACAAUGACAC
This is a non-coding RNA of Silurus meridionalis, 509 nucleotides long. Lineage: Eukaryota; Metazoa; Chordata; Actinopteri; Siluriformes; Siluridae. The record is from the annotation of a RefSeq genome assembly.